AGGGCCUGCUUUUCCUUCUCCAGGGCCUCUUGGAGGGUGACUACCUUGGCUGCCUUUCCUUUGAGGUGAGCGACUUCGGCCCGACGACUCUCCUCCGCCUGGAUGGCGUCCCCCCUCGCCCGGUUCGUCACCUCGAUAUUGGCAAGAAGUUGGUGCCCGAUCUGCAAGGGCGGCUAGGAGGUCAGAAUGAAGGUUGAGAGGCUAAUCAAAUGAAGGUGCGAAGGGAAGGGGGAAGGUGAAUCUGUUUACCUCGAGAAAGGAUCCUAGGGAGUCCCAAACCCACUGUUCGGGCAGGAUGCAGCCAUCAAUCAGCCGCUUUAUCAAGUCCUUGUCAUUGAAGGGAUUCUCUCCCGGCUC
This 357-nucleotide long non-coding RNA is filed under the name Elaeis guineensis (African oil palm). Its description in RNAcentral is "long non-coding RNA (EGUI_LNC055521)". Lineage: Eukaryota; Viridiplantae; Streptophyta; Magnoliopsida; Arecales; Arecaceae. The record is from RNAcentral.